Molecule: long non-coding RNA, 1586 nt
Organism: Brassica napus (rape)
Lineage: Eukaryota; Viridiplantae; Streptophyta; Magnoliopsida; Brassicales; Brassicaceae
Exons: 3
Source: RefSeq, a predicted model, not a curated record
CAUGUUGUACAUGAAAGAAGAAUGUACUUUUGUAAAAUUUAAAAUGUAACACUUGUAAUGAUGAAACAAUAAAGUGCAUUAAAAACUUUUAUAUUUGCUUUAUUAGAGUUUAGAUAAGAAUAUUAAAAUAAUAUAUCAAUACUAAUAAUAGUUUCGAUUACAAGAAAGAAGGAUAAUAUUUACGCUAAAAUAUAAAUUUCGGGUUUUCGGGCCGGCCCUAGCCCAAACGGACUUAAGCCCAAAAUACCCAAAGCCCAAAUGGGCUUUGCCCGAAAGGCCUAAUUUUUUUUGGGCUUAUAAAGCUAAGCCCAAGCCCGGUAAUUUUUAGGGCUGGGCGGGCUCGGGCUACGGGCUUUGGCCCUAAUUGACAUGUCUAUAUAUCUAUAUAUAUAAAGGAGACUUACCUCUCUUCUCCUGUGUCCACGUCAGCAAGAGCACAAGGGCAAAAGACUCCACGUGUGAUCACUUUAAUUUUAAGUAUUUCACGCCUUUGUUAGUCACAAGUUACAUCUAUUAAAAAACUAUUCUAUGUUUUAAUUAGGGUUUGCUUCGUCUUAGCGCUGCAGGCUGUGCCGUAUCUCUUCACAUCUCUCCGCCUCCACCUUCAUCUAUGUAACACUUCAGUUAUGUAUACAUUAGUCCAAGCGUUACGUCUUUUGCUCAGCUACUCCCACUCUCUCGAAAUAAAUCAGCAUUAACAUCCUCCAACGUAACCGACUGAAGCUUCGCUAAUAAAUCUCUUCGUUGCUUGAGAUGAAUAGUCCCACCGAACAAAAUCCCAUAAGUCAUUCUCUAAGAAGAAAUAGGAGCUACUUCAUUGAAUCAUGCAGCACUAACAAGGGGAAUCGAGUUGCUAAAAAAUUGCUGUCCAAAGCUUGAUGUUUUUGAUGGUGCCUUGCUGCUGAUAUUGGAGAUCUUGAGUUAAUCAACUGUUUACUUAAAGCUGGAGGUGAUCUUAAUCAGAAAGACGAGAUUGGACAUUUGUUGGAGUUCUCGCUCACAUGGAAUCAAAUAAGAACAAUAGUGAAACUCAAGAAAGUCAAAAUCUGGAGAGACGGUGAUGCCUUCAGGUUUGUUUGAAACCCUCAUGAUGUUUUUUAUCAUUUUUUUUCAGUAUAAUUGAAGUGUUUUUUUCUUUCUUAUACACAGAAGCUGUAGAUGCUCGAAAAAGUUUCAAGACAAAGGACAAAAUUAAGUCCAAGGGGGGUGUCCGCGCUCCGCGCGGAAUAUUGUUUUAUUAUUGCUAAGAGCAUGAUUUUUUUUGGAUAAUGUAAUUAUGUUAUCGUUUUUAUUUGUUAAGAUCAUUAUUUGAUGUUUUUAGUUUGUUAUGUAGUAGGUGAUAAGUUAAUAUAUUUUGCGUUUUUUUUUUAAUAAUGUGUUGUUGUGUGUAUAGUACUUCUUAGUAGUCAAAUGAGCCUCUAACGUAAACUAAUAUUGAAUUUCAAUAACUUUGCAUCUACGCAUUUGUUGAUUCUAAGAUUAACGGUUUCAUCGUCAAAAUUGUAUUAUAUUUUUUUCAUAUUUUUGAAAAUUAUAAUUUUUAAGAUGUUUUUUGCCCUUUCCCCAUAUUUUAAACUUGAGCCCUC